This 490-nucleotide ribosomal RNA is filed under the name uncultured bacterium. Its description in RNAcentral is "partial 16S ribosomal RNA". It matches the Rfam family "Bacterial small subunit ribosomal RNA", at positions 30 to 507 of the family's 1533-position model. The record is from RNAcentral.
AUUGAACGCUGGCGGCAGGCCUAACACAUGCAAGUCGAACGGUAACAGGAAGAAGCUUGCUUCUUUGCUGACGAGUGGCGGACGGGUGAGUAAUGUCUGGGAAACUGCCUGAUGGAGGGGGAUAACUACUGGAAACGGUAGCUAAUACCGCAUAACGUCGCAAGACCAAAGAGGGGGACCUUCGGGCCUCUUGCCAUCGGAUGUGCCCAGAUGGGAUUAGCUAGUAGGUGGGGUAACGGCUCACCUAGGCGACGAUCCCUAGCUGGUCUGAGAGGAUGACAAGCCACACUGGAACUGAGACACGGUCCAGACUCCUACGGGAGGCAGCAGUGGGGAAUAUUGCACAAUGGGCGCAAGCCUGAUGCAGCCAUGCCGCGUGUAUGAAGAAGGCCUUCGGGUUGUAAAGUACUUUCAGCGGGGAGGAAGGGAGUAAAGUUAAUACCUUUGCUCAUUGACGUUACCCGCAGAAGAAGCACCGGCUAACUCCGUG